GGCAGUUCUCAGGUAACGCACCCUGGAAUCGGGCUCCCUCCUCUCUGGUUCCGGGUGUGUCACCCAAGAACCGCA
Non-coding RNA from Myotis davidii, 75 nucleotides. Lineage: Eukaryota; Metazoa; Chordata; Mammalia; Chiroptera; Vespertilionidae. The record is from Rfam.